UCCCCGAUUGUGUAAUGGUAGCACCUCAGUUUCUGGUACUGAGUGUGGAGGUUCGAAUCCCCCUUGGGGAAACA
Molecule: transfer RNA, 74 nt
Filed under: Treponema sp. CETP13
Lineage: Bacteria; Pseudomonadati; Spirochaetota; Spirochaetia; Treponematales; Treponemataceae
Description: tRNA-Gln
Rfam family: tRNA
About the family: Transfer RNA (tRNA) molecules are approximately 80 nucleotides in length. Their secondary structure includes four short double-helical elements and three loops (D, anti-codon, and T loops).
Source: RNAcentral